RNAcentral lists this non-coding RNA (31 nucleotides) under Rattus norvegicus (Norway rat). Lineage: Eukaryota; Metazoa; Chordata; Mammalia; Rodentia; Muridae. The record is from RNAcentral.
UGAGAGAUGGCCUUGUUCAAAAGCUUCCUGU